Molecule: ribosomal RNA, 305 nt
Filed under: uncultured bacterium
Lineage: Bacteria
Description: bacterial SSU rRNA
Rfam family: Bacterial small subunit ribosomal RNA
Source: RNAcentral
CUGCCUACGGGAGGCAGCAGUGAGGAAUAUUGGUCAAUGGGCGGGAGCCUGAACCAGCCAAGUCGCGUGAGGGAAGACGGUCCUAUGGAUUGUAAACCUCUUUAGGCGGGGAGCAAUGCCGGGCACGCGUGUCCGGAGGGAGAGUACCCGCAGAAUAAGCAUCGGCUAACUCCGUGCCAGCAGCCGCGGUAAUACGGAGGAUGCGAGCGUUAUCCGGAUUUAUUGGGUUUAAAGGGUGCGUAGGCGGAUUUUUAAGUCAGCGGUGAAAGUCUGUGGCUCAACCAUAGAAUUGCCGUUGAAACUGG